GACGAACGCUGGCGGCGUGCCUAACACAUGCAAGUGGAGCGACGAACCAGGCUUCGGCCUGGGGCAAGGCCGCGAACGGGUGAGUAACACGUGGGUAACCUGCCCUGAUGAUUGGGACAACCCGAGGAAACUCGGGCUAAUACCGAAUGUGCCCUCCGGCCUCAAGGCCGCUGGGGAAAGGAAGCUUCGGCCUCCGCAUCGGGAUGGGCCCGCGGCCCAUUAGCUUGUUGGUGAGGUAACGGCNCACCAAGGCGACGAUGGGUAGCUGGUCUGAGAGGACGAUCAGCCACACUGGGACUGAGACACGGCCCAGACUCCUACGGGAGGCAGCAGUGGGGAAUCUUGCGCAAUGCGCGAAAGCGUGACGCAGCAACGCCGCGUGGGGGAAGAAGGCCUGG
This 398-nucleotide ribosomal RNA is filed under the name uncultured bacterium. RNAcentral's name for it is "bacterial SSU rRNA". It matches the Rfam family "Bacterial small subunit ribosomal RNA", at positions 28 to 419 of the family's 1533-position model. The record is from RNAcentral.